AACGUAGGUGACGAGCGUUAUCCGGAUUUACUGGGCGUAAAGAGCUUGUAGGUGGCUCUGUAAGUUGGGUGUGAAAGCCCCGGGCUUAACUCGGGGAGGUUACUCAAUACUGCAGGGCUUGAGGAUGUCAGAGGGAAGUGGAAUUCCUGGUGUAGCAGUGAAAUGCGUAGAUAUCAGGAGGAACACCCGUGGCGAAGGCGGCUUCCUGGGGCACUCCUGACACUGAGAAGCGAAAGCUAGGGGAGCGAACGGGAUUAGAAACCCCGGUAGUCCUAGCUGUAAACGAUGGAUGCUAGGUGUUGGCAGAUCUAACCCUGUCAGUGCCAAAGCUAACGCGUUAAGCAUCCCGCCUGGGAACUACGAGCGCAAGCUUA
RNAcentral lists this ribosomal RNA (374 nucleotides) under uncultured prokaryote. RNAcentral describes it as "bacterial SSU rRNA". It matches the Rfam family "Bacterial small subunit ribosomal RNA", at positions 524 to 896 of the family's 1533-position model. The record is from RNAcentral.